UCGCAGUCCUCGGUCUAGGCAGGCAGCAUCAACGCAGGCUAUAACACUUCACCGAAGUAAAGUCACAUUCCUACGCCAUUAUCCUACCGCCCAAACCGAUGCUGGCCCGAUAAGCUGCGGGUCACCCCGCCACGAAGGCAAGGCUCACAAAAUAUCGAGUCUGAUCUCAAACCCUUCCCUUUCAACAAUUUCACGUACUUUUUCACUCUCUUUUCAAAGUUCUUUUCAUCUUUCCAUCACUGUACUUGUUCGCUAUCGGUCUCUCGCCAAUAUUUAGCUUUAGAUGGAAUUUACCACCCACUUAGAGCUGCAUUCCCAAACAACUCGACUCUUCGAAAGCACCUUACAUAGAAUUGGGCAUCUCAUCGCACGGGAUUCUCACCCUCUGUGACGUCCUGUUCCAAGAAACAUAGACAAGAGCCAACCCCAAGGUUACAAUCUUCAAAUUACAACUCGGACACCGAAGGCGCCAGAUUUCAAAUUUGAGCUUUUGCCGCU
This 498-nucleotide ribosomal RNA is filed under the name Meyerozyma guilliermondii. Its description in RNAcentral is "partial large subunit ribosomal RNA". Lineage: Eukaryota; Fungi; Ascomycota; Pichiomycetes; Serinales; Debaryomycetaceae. The record is from RNAcentral.